This is a small nuclear RNA of Monodelphis domestica (gray short-tailed opossum), 101 nucleotides long. Lineage: Eukaryota; Metazoa; Chordata; Mammalia; Didelphimorphia; Didelphidae. The record is from Ensembl.
GUUUCUAAGGAACAUACACUAAAAUUGGAAUAAUAUGGAAAAGAUUAACUUGUAUCCUCUACAAGGAUGACAUGCAAAUUUAUAAAGCAUUCCAUAUUUUU